GGAGGUGCAGGAGGAGGGUUAAAGGGCAGUGGAGUGCGAAGGGUCUCAAGUCACAAUGCAAAGGACUCUGCGCGAUCCAUUAGCUCUGCUGCGCUUCCACCUGCUGCAGAGGAACCGCUGCCAUCACUCGGAGGAAAGAGGAGCAUGUUUGGACGCUCUCCUACUCAACUAUCCAAACAAGACGCGGUGUACGGCGCAGAGAGAGAGAGAGCACAGAGGCUGAUGCUAAUCAUUCGACUGCCUCGCAAAACUCUUCGAGAAUAUCUUGAUGGCAGACUGCUGAAUUCCCACGAUACCAUCAAAGAAUCAGAUACCAGUAAGACUGAAAAAGGAUCCAGGUCACUGGGGCCAUUUUUCUUCUCCAUCAUAUCCUGACAGAGAAUGACCAGAGGAACUGAAGGGAUGAGAACAGGUCUGAAACAAUCCAAUUAUAUCACAGCUUUGACAUUAAUGAAACCGAAGACAGAAGAGAUUUCAUUCAACAGUACUCAUAAAUAAUUUAUAUAACAUUAAGUUGGACAAAGAGCAUGUGAAGACAGAGUAGGGAUAUGCAGCAUUACAGAUUUUCUAAAUAAAUUAGUCAGUUAUUUGUGUAAAUGACUAAUCAAUUAAUCAGUCUUAAGGAGGCUCUGUAUAAUUAGGGGACAGAACAAGGUCUCGAGAUUCAUUUUUAAAUAAGCUGAUACACCAUCAUAAACAUAACCGUCAUGGCAGGUCACUCAAACAACAUCAAAAACGUAUUGAUCAUGACUAUACACAAUUACAAAAAAAAUAAAAUACACACACACACACACAAAACUGGUAAAACUUUACAAUAAGGUUUGGUAUGCAAGAUUAAUGGAUGCUAGAUGCAAUAUUAUUUUUUUUAAUUAGCAAUACUUUAAAAGUAUUUAUUAAUGCAGAUUUAUGCAAAAGUAGAUUG
Long non-coding RNA from Carassius carassius (crucian carp), 922 nucleotides. RefSeq lists it as uncharacterized. The record is from RefSeq and is a predicted model, not a curated record. The transcript is spliced from 3 exons. Lineage: Eukaryota; Metazoa; Chordata; Actinopteri; Cypriniformes; Cyprinidae.